CCCAUGUUGGGUGCAGAUGAGGGUUGGGGGCACCACGAUGAGUCUGCAGGGGGGGCUGAACCCUAUGGAUGUCUCUGUGUGGGACGUUAGAGGGACACUGCAAUGGGUCCGACCCCAAAAUCAUUGGGGUUGGGGUAGGAGGGGGUCCAGAAGACCCCAAAGGUGGGGGUGGGAGCCCAACAGUGACCCCAUGUUGGGCGCAGAUGAGGGUUGGGGGCACCACGAUGAGUCUGCAGGGGGGGCUGAACCCUAUGGAUGUCUCUCUGUGGGGUGUUGGGGGGAUACCAUGGUGGGUCCGACCCCAAAAUCAUUGGGGUUGGAGUAGGAGGGGGUCCAGAAGACCCCAAAGGUGGGGAUAUGUGGGUUGGGAGCCAGAGAGGAUGAAGAGGAUGAAGUCGACCCCAAAAGACGUCUCCAUGUUGAUUAUUGGGGUUGGGGGGACACUGCGAGGGGUCUGACCCCAAAAUCAGUGGGGUUGGGGUUGGGGAGGGGGCCGGAAGACCCCAAAGGUGGGGAUGUGUGGGUUGGGAGCCAGAGAGGACACCACGAUGAGUCCGACCCCAAAAGACCCCAAAAGUUCCCCCCAGUUUUGCCUUUUUUCCUCUCCCAUUUCCUCCCUUUUUCCUCUCCCAUUUCCUCCCUUUUUCCUCUCCCAUUUCCUCCCUUUUUCCUCUCCCAUUUCCUCCCUUUUCCCCUUCCAUUUCUCCCUUUCCCCCCCCCAAUUUUGCCUUUUUCCUCUCCCACUUCCUCCCUUUUUCCCCUCCCAUUUCUUCCUUUCCCCCCCCCCAAUUUUGCCUUUUUCCUCUCCCAUUUCCCCCCUUUUCCCCCUUCCAUUUCUUCCUUU
This 844-nucleotide long non-coding RNA is filed under the name Gallus gallus (chicken). Its description in RNAcentral is "lncRNA (ENSGALG00010000894.1)". Lineage: Eukaryota; Metazoa; Chordata; Aves; Galliformes; Phasianidae. The record is from RNAcentral.